This 253-nucleotide ribosomal RNA is filed under the name uncultured bacterium. Its description in RNAcentral is "partial 16S ribosomal RNA". It matches the Rfam family "Bacterial small subunit ribosomal RNA", at positions 524 to 776 of the family's 1533-position model. The record is from RNAcentral.
GACGAACCGUGCAAACGUUGUUCGGAAUCACUGGGCUUAAAGGGCGCGUAGGCGGGCCAGCCAGUCUGUGGUGAAAGCCUCCAGCUUAACUGGAGAAGUGCCGUGGAUACUGCUGGCCUCGAGGAGGAUAGGGGCAUCUGGAACGGUCGGUGGAGCGGUGAAAUGCGUUGAUAUCGACCGGAACUCCGGUGGCGAAGGCGAGGUGCUGGGUCCUUUCUGACGCUAAUGCGCGAAAGCCAGGGGAGCAAACGGG